This is a small nuclear RNA of Heterocephalus glaber (naked mole-rat), 132 nucleotides long. Its record names the gene U2. It matches the Rfam family "U2 spliceosomal RNA". Rfam says of the family: U2 is a small nuclear RNA (snRNA) component of the spliceosome (involved in pre-mRNA splicing). Complementary binding between U2 snRNA (in an area lying towards the 5' end but 3' to hairpin I) and the branchpoint sequence (BPS) of the intron results the bulging out of an unpaired adenosine, on the BPS, which initiates a nucleophilic attack at the intronic 5' splice site, thus starting the first of two transesterification reactions that mediate splicing. The record is from Ensembl. NCBI's taxonomy places the organism in Eukaryota, Metazoa, Chordata, Mammalia, Rodentia, Bathyergidae.
AUCGCUUCUCAGCCUUUUGGCUAAGAUCAAGUGUAGAUGCUAGGUUGAAAUAUAUAACUCUUUACAUACUGUGAUGCCAUUGUAUAAUAUUAUUUGAAAUCAAUAUUUACCUCAAAAAAGUAAAUAAUGCCU